AACGUAGGACACAAGCGUUAUCCGGAGUUACUGGGCGUAAAGGGCGUGUAGGCGGAUGGGUAAGUCUACUCUGAAAGCUCCUGGCUAAACUGGGAGAGGCGAGUGGAGACUGCUGAUCUAGAGUGAGGAAGAGGAAAGUGGAAUUCCGCGUGUAGUGGUGAAAUGCGUAGAGAUCAUGAGGAAGACCAGUGGCGAAGGCGGGUCUCUGGACAGUUCCUGACACUGAGGCACGAAGGCCAGGGGAGCAAACGGG
This 253-nucleotide ribosomal RNA is filed under the name uncultured bacterium. Its description in RNAcentral is "partial 16S ribosomal RNA". It matches the Rfam family "Bacterial small subunit ribosomal RNA", at positions 524 to 776 of the family's 1533-position model. The record is from RNAcentral.